This 236-nucleotide ribosomal RNA is filed under the name uncultured bacterium. Its description in RNAcentral is "partial 16S ribosomal RNA". It matches the Rfam family "Bacterial small subunit ribosomal RNA", at positions 100 to 334 of the family's 1533-position model. The record is from RNAcentral.
CGGGACGGGUGAGUAACGCGUGGGUAACCUGCCUUGUACAGGGGGAUAACAGUUGGAAACGGCUGCUAAUACCGCAUAAGCGCACGGCAUCGCAUGAUGCAGUGUGAAAAACUCCGGUGGUAUAAGAUGGACCCGCGUUGGAUUAGCUAGUUGGUGGGGUAACGGCCCACCAAGGCGACGAUCCAUAGCCGACCUGAGAGGGUGACCGGCCACAUUGGGACUGAGACACGGCCCAA